This 253-nucleotide ribosomal RNA is filed under the name uncultured bacterium. Its description in RNAcentral is "partial 16S ribosomal RNA". It matches the Rfam family "Bacterial small subunit ribosomal RNA", at positions 524 to 776 of the family's 1533-position model. The record is from RNAcentral.
UACAGAGGUCCCGAGCGUUGUUCGGAUUCACUGGGCGUAAAGCGUGCGCAGGCGGUUAUAUAAGACAGAUGUGAAAUCCCCGGGCUUAACCUGGGAACUGCAUUUGUGACUGCAUCGCUGGAGUGCGGCAGAGGGGGAUGGAAUUCCGCGUGUAGCAGUGAAAUGCGUAGAUAUGCGGAGGAACACCGAUGGCGAAGGCAAUCCCCUGGGCCUGCACUGACGCUCAUGCACGAAAGCGUGGGGAGCAAACAGG